CAGUCGCCGCGGUAAUACAGAGGGUGCGAGCGUUAAUCGGAUUUACUGGGCGUAAAGCGUGCGUAGGCGGCUUCUUAAGUCGGAUGUGAAAUCCCUGAGAUUAACUUAGGAAUUGCAUUCGAUACUGGGAAGCUAGAGUAUGGGAGAGGAUGGUAGAAUUCCAGGUGUAGCGGUGAAAUGCGUAGAGAUCUGGAGGAAUACCGAUGGCGAAGGCAGCCAUCUGGCCUAAUACUGACGCUGAGGUACGAAAGCAUGGGGAGCAAACAGGAUUAGAUACCCCUGUAGUCCCUGUCUCUUAUAC
This 301-nucleotide ribosomal RNA is filed under the name uncultured bacterium. Its description in RNAcentral is "partial 16S ribosomal RNA". It matches the Rfam family "Bacterial small subunit ribosomal RNA", at positions 509 to 807 of the family's 1533-position model. The record is from RNAcentral.